AAGUCGUAACAAGGUUUCCGUAGGUGAACCUGCGGAGGGAUCAUUACACAAAUAUGAAGGCGGGCUGGAACCUCUCGGGGUUACAGCCUUGCUGAAUUAUUCACCCUUGUCUUUUGCGUACUUCUUGUUUCCUUGGUGGGUUCGCCCACCACUAGGACAAACAUAAACCUUUUGUAAUUGCAAUCAGCGUCAGUAACAAAUUAAUAAUUACAACUUUCAACAACGGAUCUCUUGGUUCUGGCAUCGAUGAAGAACGCAGCGAAAUGCGAUAAGUAGUGUGAAUUGCAGAAUUCAGUGAAUCAUCGAAUCUUUGAACGCACAUUGCGCCCUUUGGUAUUCCAAAGGGCAUGCCUGUUCGAGCGUCAUUUGUACCCUCAAGCUUUGCUUGGUGUUGGGCGUCUUGUCUCUAGCUUUGCUGGAGACUCGCCUUAAAGUAAUUGGCAGCCGGCCUACUGGUUUCGGAGCGCAGCACAAGUCGCACUCUCUAUCAGCAAAGGUCUAGCAUCCAUUAAGCCUUUUUUUCAACUUUUGACCUCGGAUCAGGUAGGGAUACCCGCUGAACUUAA
This 566-nucleotide ribosomal RNA is filed under the name uncultured fungus. Its description in RNAcentral is "eukaryotic LSU rRNA". The stretch from base 212 to 365 matches the Rfam family "5.8S ribosomal RNA". Lineage: Eukaryota; Fungi. The record is from RNAcentral.